This 231-nucleotide long non-coding RNA is filed under the name Elaeis guineensis (African oil palm). RNAcentral describes it as "long non-coding RNA (EGUI_LNC005170)". Lineage: Eukaryota; Viridiplantae; Streptophyta; Magnoliopsida; Arecales; Arecaceae. The record is from RNAcentral.
CCGAGCUGCAUCGAGGCAAUGUUAGGCUUGCCAUCUGUUUUGAUGAUUCAUAUAUUUCAGUUGUCUGAAGAACUAAAUUGUCCGGUGGAACCAUUCUGAAAGAGCAUCUGAAUUGAAGCACAAAGACCAGACUGGAACGUGGUUGUCCAGUCGUGAUGUUUCAACUAACUGUCUGACACACCAUAUGAUAAUUAAGAUCUUUAGAGCUUUCUGUAAGAAGUGCUUUUCUUC